This 1629-nucleotide long non-coding RNA is filed under the name Lucilia cuprina (Australian sheep blowfly). RNAcentral describes it as "uncharacterized LOC124419452, transcript variant X5". The record is from RNAcentral. Lineage: Eukaryota; Metazoa; Arthropoda; Insecta; Diptera; Calliphoridae.
GGUGUCAACAAUUAAAAAAUUUACAAACACAGAAAACUCAAACGCACUGGUUUGGUUUGAUGAAAAUCAAAUUGAACCAGACAAAACAUGUAUUGAAAAUGAAGAAUCAUAAAUUUAUUUUUUGAUGAAACAACAUAAUUUUCAUGUUUUUCUUUUUUGCCGCAAGAGUGGCAGUAUGGGGGAGAAAGACUCUCGGAGACACAAAGUCCAUAUUACACAGUCUUUUCAACAACGAAUGUUGUAGUUGGUAUAACAAUACCUAACAAAAGAACGUACAUAACAAAAUAUGUAAACAAAACAAUCACAAAAAUAUUGUUUGUGAAAAAAGGCAAAAAUAUCGGUUUCUGAAAACGGAAAACGGGGUUCGAUAGUAAAUAACUAGUGCUAUCGAAAUCCAGGGAUGUCACUUGCGAAAAAUUAGAAGUUUCUAGUGUGUGUAAAAUCAAUGUGAAAAACUUAGAGAUAUUCGGCUUUAUACGAACACACAAGUAAUAUGAUCUGUCAAAAUUUUUUGCAGAAUAGGACGGAUGGGUCCUCUAUGAAGAAAAACUUUUUAACAAACUUUUUUCAACUUUAACAAAUUUUUUUUCGAGUUACAAAAUUAUAAAAAAGCAUUGCUUUAUUUAUAAAUUUGUGAAAAAUUUUCAUAAAAAUGAAAAUCUUAUUUAAGCACCAAAACUGAAAUAUAUAAUCGAUAGGGAAUCGAAAAAGGAAUCGAUCUCUCUUUAAGUAUUCUUCGCGGUGCUUGCUAUGAUGUGUGAUGUAACAAACUUUAAAGAAAUUAAAAAUUUAACAAAAAGCGUUUAUACUUAAAAGAAUUAAAAAUAUUCUUUGAGCAAGAAAACAGUAAAUAGUGCCCGAUGGGGAAUCGAUAGACUGAAUUGAUUUCAUUUAUUGCGCGUUUUUAUGAUUUUCUUUUGGUUUUAUUCUAUAGCGCGUUUUUUUAUUUUUUUUUAAUUUUCUUGUUUUCUUAUUAGAGAAAGAGGAUUUGUUGGAGAAAAUCUAAAGUAUUCUUAUUGAAAAAAAUUUAUGAAUUUACUAACAUUCUUUUGUUUUCUUUACAGAAAAUUAACAAAAUAAGUCACAAUGAGCACAAGAAGAUGUAUUAAAGGUUGCCCCCCAGGCGAGCAGCUCCAUUACUUCCCUACCGAUGCUAAAAGUCUGAAAUCAGCAAACCUCAAGAACUGUGGCCAAGAUGCACUGAGACCAUGAUGAAACCUAGUUUCUCCUAACAGCUUGUGACAUUGCGGUUGAAAUUUUGACAAUAAAGAAGCACCUUUUACUGAAGUUUCCAAAUGCUGAAGUUUCUGAUGUUUCCAAAUGUCUGUGUUAAGUAACCCCAGUUUUUACAAACAAAUUUAACAUCAGAAUACAAUUCAACAAUCAUCACAAUCGUUUUUUUUAUUGUAUUAUUUUAACAAAAGUAAUUGUUUAUAUGUUUAACUCGUUUUUAUUUAUAUAUCUUUUUUUGUGUAAUUAAAAAUGAAUUGAAGAUGAAAAUAAUCAGUAAUCUGCAUAAUAUUUAAUAAAUAAAACUAUUAUUUUGUUUCCAAUUGACUUUUAGUUAAUUUUUAUUAUUUUUCUUUUUAAAUUUUAUUUCAAUAAAUGUAUAUACUAUUUGUAAAAGUA